This 489-nucleotide ribosomal RNA is filed under the name uncultured bacterium. Its description in RNAcentral is "partial 16S ribosomal RNA". It matches the Rfam family "Bacterial small subunit ribosomal RNA", at positions 28 to 507 of the family's 1533-position model. The record is from RNAcentral.
GACGAACGCUGGCGGCGUGCUUAACACAUGCAAGUCGAACGGAAAGGCCCCCAUCUUGGUGGGGGUGCUCGAGUGGCGAACGGGUGAGUAACACGUGGGUGAUCUGCCCUGUACUUCGGGAUAAGCUUGGGAAACUGGGUCUAAUACCGGAUAGGACCAUGGUUUAGUGUCUCAUGGUGGAAAGAUUAUUGUUUUGGUGCAGGAUGAGCUCGCGGCCUAUCAGCUUGUUGGUGGGGUAAUGGCCUACCAAGGCGUCGACGGGUAGCCGGCCGGAGAGGGUGGACGGACACAUAGGGACAGAGAUACGGCACAGACUCGGACGGGAGGCAGAAGUGGGGAAUAGUGCAGAAUGGGCGCAAGACUGAGGAAGCGAGGCCGCGUGAGGGAGGACGGCGUUCGGGUUGUAAACUCCUUUCGUUAGGGACGAAGCCGCACUUUUUUUGGGUGUGGUGACGGUACCUUUGUUAAGAAGCACCGGCUAACUACGUG